RNAcentral lists this transfer RNA (64 nucleotides) under Pseudoniphargus elongatus. Its description in RNAcentral is "tRNA-Trp". Lineage: Eukaryota; Metazoa; Arthropoda; Malacostraca; Amphipoda; Allocrangonyctidae. The record is from RNAcentral.
UAAACUUUAAGUUAAAUAAAACUAAAGGUCUUCAAAACCUUCAAUAAGAUAUUCUUAAGUUUAA